This 119-nucleotide long non-coding RNA is filed under the name Sinocyclocheilus grahami. RNAcentral's name for it is "lncRNA (ENSSGRG00000012385.1)". Lineage: Eukaryota; Metazoa; Chordata; Actinopteri; Cypriniformes; Cyprinidae. The record is from RNAcentral.
CAGGACAAAAAUUGUCUGGGACAAUGAGUCCGAAUCAAGGGUCCAUUUCACAGGGUCCCUAAUGAAGGUUCGUAAUUGAGGAAUAAUCAUCAAAUGAGGAACUCUGGGAUGGACUUUCA